Molecule: long non-coding RNA, 817 nt
Organism: Triticum aestivum (bread wheat)
Lineage: Eukaryota; Viridiplantae; Streptophyta; Magnoliopsida; Poales; Poaceae
Exons: 2
Source: RefSeq, a predicted model, not a curated record
GAAUCUGACGGCUCACAAAUUGUGAUUCUUAUGUAAGGAAAAAAAAAACCGACAGGGCCCAGCCCCCGCACGUAAUCCUCUCCCCUAAUCACUCCCGAUUUCAAUCGCAGCAGCACUGGCCCGAUCUCCCUCACCUCGCCUAGAUCCCUUCUCCCCCUACCUCGCAUGCAGCUUUGUCCUGCUCCCCACGCCGUCGAGCAACACGGCCACCCAACCAGCCAGCUCCGCCACUGCCAGCUCCGCCCCUGCCACUGAUCAAGCCUCCCCAUCCUCAUCUUGAUUGGUACUUUUUCAGGUCAAAUCAGGUGCGUCAGCGGCUGGAUCGGCUACCGGAGUAGCACCGGCCGGCCAGAGAACCUAAAGUGGAUUUAAAAAUCCGUCCCCACCAACCCAAUUACAAGCGCCCCAUAUUGAAAUAAAAGGAAUUUCAUGAUGUAAAAAACAUGACAUGUAGUACUCUUUGGCACGGCUACUCAUAUCAAGAUAAUUGAUUAUGCUGGAACUGCUUCCUAACAAGUUAUAAGGAUAAGUGGGGGAGCACGACAGGUUUGGUGGAGAUUAACCUAAUCUCAAAAGAGGACAUGUAACACGAGUUAGUAUAAUGUUGAUCUUAAUGCCAUCAAGAAUUGUGUCAACAUAUAGGAAUGUGAAUACCGUGAUAGCACAAAACCAUUGUUUAGAUUAAAAUAAAAUAAGAAAGUGUGCAUGAAAUUUUCUUGCAAACUUAAGUUAGUUGGUUAAGAUUAGCAAGUAAAAUUAGUUGUGUGAAUAUGUCUCAAUAUCCAUUGAUAUAUAUGAAUUUAUUAGUUUUCCAUUA